CAGGUGGCCCUGACCUGUACUCAGAUUUGGUGGACAACAGAAGUGGGCAUGGCAUUUGCCAGGCUGGAGGAAGGCUAUGAGAGUGCCAUGAAGGACUAUAAUAAGAAGCAAGUGGCCCAGCUCAAAACCCUCAUCACCAUGCUGAUUGGCCAGCUCUCCAAGGGAGACCGGCAGAAGAUUAUGACCAUAUGCACCAUCGAUGUGCAUGCCCGGGAUGUGGUAGCCAAGAUGAUUGCUCAGAAGGUAGACAAUGCCCAGGCUUUCCUCUGGCUGUCUCAGCUGCGCCAUCGUUGGGAUGAUGAGGUCAAACACUGCUUUGCCAACAUCUGUGAUGCCCAGUUUUUGUAUUCCUAUGAGUACCUGGGAAACACACCUCGCCUGGUGAUCACACCUUUGACUGACAGGUGAGCACUGGUGUCAACCACUGACAGCCUUACUGCUGUCUGCUUCGGGCCAGCUAGUGGGCAUCUAGGGUCAAAGUCCCUGUCACUUGCUAUUUGUCCAUAGAGCUACAGGGAAAGGGCCUGACUCAACAGAGCCAGUUUAAAGUGAAACUGAAAGGAUGUAGGGCAGAGCCUUUCUUGGAACAAAUCCCAGAGCAAAUCAAUGAGCCGUGACUUUUUGAGGAAUUACUAAGUGGUCAUACACACCCAAGUUCUAACACCAGCCCUAACACGUACCAGCUGUUUGAUUAUGAAAAAAAUUGACCUAA
RNAcentral lists this small RNA (712 nucleotides) under Pongo abelii (Sumatran orangutan). RNAcentral describes it as "retained intron". Lineage: Eukaryota; Metazoa; Chordata; Mammalia; Primates; Hominidae. The record is from RNAcentral.